AUCCAGCUGACGAGUCCAAAAAAGGACGAAACGCGCGUGUUGGAU
Non-coding RNA from Schistosoma haematobium, 45 nucleotides. The record is from Rfam. NCBI's taxonomy places the organism in Eukaryota, Metazoa, Platyhelminthes, Trematoda, Strigeidida, Schistosomatidae.